Molecule: ribosomal RNA, 253 nt
Filed under: uncultured bacterium
Lineage: Bacteria
Description: partial 16S ribosomal RNA
Rfam family: Bacterial small subunit ribosomal RNA
Source: RNAcentral
UACGUAGGGGGCAAGCGUUGUCCGGAUUUAUUGGGCGUAAAGAGCGUGUAGGCGGCUAGGUAGGUCCGUUGUGAAAACUCGAGGCUCAACCUCGAGCUGUCGAUGGAAACCAUCUGGCUAGAGUCCGGAAGAGGAGAGUGGAAUUCCUGGUGUAGCGGUGAAAUGCGCAGAUAUCAGGAAGAACACCCGUGGCGAAAGCGGCUCUCUGGAACGGUACUGACGCUGAGACGCGAAAGCGUGGGGAGCGAACAGG